CCUACGGGGGGCAGCAGUGGGGAAUUUUCCGCAAUGGGCGAAAGCCUGACGGAGCAAUACCGCGUGAGGGAAGAAGGUCUGUGGAUUGUAAACCUCUUUUGUUAGGGACGAUAAUGACGGUACCUAACGAAUAAGCCUCGGCUAACUCCGUGCCAGCAGCCACGGUAAGACGGAGGAGGCAAGCGUUAUCCGGAAUUAUUGGGCGUAAAGCGUACGCAGGUGGGUUGACAAGUCUUUUGUCAAAGACCGGGGCUUAACCCUGGGAAGGCAGAGGAAACUGUUAAUCUAGAGUGCGGUAGGGGCAGGAGGAAUUCCCGGUGUAGCGGUGAAAUGCGUAGAUAUCGGGAAGAACACCAGCGGCGAAAGCGUCCUGCUAGGCCGUAACUGACACUCAUGGACGAAAGCUAGGGGAGCGAAAGGGAUUAGAUACCCCAGUAGUC
Molecule: ribosomal RNA, 440 nt
Filed under: Cyanobacteriota bacterium 0002_272PII
Lineage: Bacteria; Bacillati; Cyanobacteriota
Description: bacterial SSU rRNA
Rfam family: Bacterial small subunit ribosomal RNA
Source: RNAcentral